UACGAGGGGGGCGAGCGUUGUUCGGAAUUAUUGGGCGUAAAGGGUGCGUAGGCGGUUUUGUAAGUCUUAUGUGAAAUCUACAGGCUCAACUUGUAGUCUGCAUGAGAAACUGCAGGGCUUGAGUAUGGGAGAGGUGAGUGGAAUUCCUGGUGUAGCGGUGAAAUGCGUAGAUAUCAGGAGGAACACCUGUGGCGAAGGCGGCUCACUGGACCGUAACUGACGCUGAUGCACGAAAGCGAGGGGAGCAAACAGG
Molecule: ribosomal RNA, 253 nt
Filed under: uncultured bacterium
Lineage: Bacteria
Description: partial 16S ribosomal RNA
Rfam family: Bacterial small subunit ribosomal RNA
Source: RNAcentral